UACGUAGGGUCUGAGCGUUGUCCGGAAUUAUUGGGCGUAAAGAGCUCGUAGGCGGUUUGUCGCGUCUGCUGUGAAAUCCCGAGGCUCAACCUCGGGUCUGCAGUGGGUACGGGCAGACUGGAGUGCGGUAGGGGAGAAUGGAAUUCCUGGUGUAGCGGUGGAAUGCGCAGAUAUCAGGAGGAACACCGAUGGCGAAGGCAGUUCUCUGGGCCGUAACUGACGCUGAGGAGCGAAAGCGUGGGGAGCAAACAGG
This 253-nucleotide ribosomal RNA is filed under the name uncultured bacterium. RNAcentral describes it as "partial 16S ribosomal RNA". It matches the Rfam family "Bacterial small subunit ribosomal RNA", at positions 524 to 776 of the family's 1533-position model. The record is from RNAcentral.